UGAUUCCGAAGGCAUCCUGGAGGACUUUGGCCAUCGGCGCCAGGCAGUUGGUGGUGCAGGAGGCCACGGAGAUGAUGGUGUCAUCCGGGGUCAG
Molecule: transfer RNA, 94 nt
Filed under: Klebsiella variicola
Lineage: Bacteria; Pseudomonadati; Pseudomonadota; Gammaproteobacteria; Enterobacterales; Enterobacteriaceae
Description: tRNA-Arg(tcg)
Source: RNAcentral